Molecule: unclassified non-coding RNA, 217 nt
Filed under: uncultured Actinomycetes bacterium
Lineage: Bacteria; Bacillati; Actinomycetota; Actinomycetes
Description: uncultured actinobacterium contains 16S-23S intergenic spacer region
Source: RNAcentral
UCCGAGUUGACCCCGGCAGUCUCCCAUGAGUCCCCAACCAAAUGCUGGCAACAUGGAACGAGGGUUGCGCUCGUUGCGGGACUUAACCCAACAUCUCACGACACGAGCUGACGACAGCCAUGCACCACCUGUACACCACCAAAAGAAACCGCAUCUCUGCGGCGACAUGGCGUAUGUCAAACCCAGGUAAGGUGGGGAUGACGUGUAGGAGCUCGAC